GUCUCUCAGUUGUUUUCAGAAAUGUUUCAUGUGUUCAGUCUUUCAGGGGGAGUGUGAAGGAAAUAAUCUAUCACAGGGACACCUUUCUGCAACUCUGCCCUCAUUGCCAUCGCCUGGCAGUCAUGCAGAACAAGGGUCAUGGCCCUGCUACAUCUCGGAGUCUCAGGGAUCUCCUCAAUGAAUGUAAACAGAUACUUGGAAUGAGGAAAUGGCUCCUAACUCAGCACCUAAACAUACCUGGACCCACUAAGAUAGCCUGUUAUGCUGACAUUGGCCAAUCAUGCAUGGCCUAUCAAGGAGCUCUCAAUUCCCAGGACAGCACCCAAACUGUAUGUAUCCCCCAAACCUAAAACCACUUAAAAAUAAUCAUAAUAAAGCCACUU
This 383-nucleotide long non-coding RNA is filed under the name Dasypus novemcinctus (nine-banded armadillo). RNAcentral's name for it is "lncRNA (ENSDNOG00000051207.1)". The record is from RNAcentral. Lineage: Eukaryota; Metazoa; Chordata; Mammalia; Cingulata; Dasypodidae.